This 276-nucleotide ribosomal RNA is filed under the name uncultured prokaryote. RNAcentral's name for it is "partial 16S ribosomal RNA". It matches the Rfam family "Bacterial small subunit ribosomal RNA", at positions 524 to 800 of the family's 1533-position model. The record is from RNAcentral.
CACGGGGUUGCGAGCGUUGUCCGGAAUUACUAGGCGUAAAGGGCAGGCAGGCGGAUCCAUAAGUUUAUCGUUUAAGGCGUCGGCUUAACCGGCGUAGGGCGGUAGAUACUGUGGAUCUGGAAUGCGGUUGGGGAAGACAGAAUUCCUGGUGUAGCGGUGGAAUGCGCAGAGAUCAGGAGGAAUACCGAGGGCGAAGGCAGUCUUCCAAUCCGUUAUUGACGCUCAACUGCGAAGGUGUGGGUAUCAAACAGGAUUAGAUACCCGCGUAGUCCCUGA